AUAGCGUAUAUUAAAGUUGUUGCAGUUAAAAAGCUCGUAGUUGGAUUUCUGGGAGGGUGCCAAUGUCCGCCGACGUGCGUGCGCAGCGGCGCCCUUCCAUCCUUCUGUUAACGCCUCUUGACAUUCGUUUGUUGAUGGCGGGCUCAGAUAUUUUACCUUGAGAAAAUUAGAGUGUUUCAGGCAGGCUAGGCCGGAAUACAUUAGCAUGGAAUAAUGGAAUAGGACUACGGUCUCUUUGUUGGUUUGAGGGACUGCAGUAAUGAUUAAUAGGGAUAGUUGGGGGCAUUAGUAUUUAAUUGUCAGAGGUGGAAUUCUCGGAUUUGUUAAAGACUAACUUAUG
Molecule: ribosomal RNA, 340 nt
Filed under: uncultured eukaryote
Lineage: Eukaryota
Description: SSU rRNA
Rfam family: Eukaryotic small subunit ribosomal RNA
Source: RNAcentral